RNAcentral lists this ribosomal RNA (807 nucleotides) under Triticum aestivum (bread wheat). RNAcentral describes it as "partial small subunit ribosomal RNA". Lineage: Eukaryota; Viridiplantae; Streptophyta; Magnoliopsida; Poales; Poaceae. The record is from RNAcentral.
AUGGGCCCUCUUGUGGUAGACCCACAUGUCAUCGGUGUAACUAGUUACACUCCGGAGGACGAUGCCUAUAUCCUGGUAGUAGUACUAGUAGAAAUGAGAUUUAAUGCACUUUCUUCCCCAUCUUCCACUCUUCUUCCUCCUCUCUUCUUCUUCCUCCUCUCUUCCCCAUCGUCGGCCGCACACCAUUUACCCCCGCUCACUGCUCUCCCGCCCGCGCCAUCUUCCUUGGUAGCUCGCGCGUACCAUAUCCCCCCGCUCACUACUCGGCCACACGAGGAGAAGCUUCUUCGCUCGCCCGCCCGAAUCUACUUCCCUGCUAUACCAUAUAACUGGAAUUACCGAUGCAAGUCGAAGAAGGAUUGGCCGGUGCUGCCGGCUGGCGUCAAGUUCGAUCCCAUGGAUCAGGAGCUGAUCGAGCACCUUGAGGCCAAAGUGAGUGUUGACAGCACGAGAUUUCAGUCUCUCAUCGAUUUGUUCAUACCAACCAUCGACAGCGAGCACGACAUAUGCUACACCCAACCUGAGAAACUUCCAGAUGUUAUGAAAAUGCCAACUAGACGGACAACAAAAAAGGUUCUGGUGCUGCACACCAACAAGAACUUCGACCAGCAUAGGACUAACUGGGUGAUGCACCAGUACCACAUCGGGGACCUGGAGCAAGAGAAGGAGCGGGAGCUAGUCCUCUGCAAGAUUUUCUACCAGAUGAACACUAGGGCCAGGAGCCCAGGAGUAGUUUGGUCGAGCAAGUUUCAACUGGGCUGUAGACUGACCAGGGUUGGUUUUGUUUUUAACAGGCCCAGCCCAUGA